GACGAACGCUGGCGGCGUGCUUAACACAUGCAAGUCGAACGGAAAGGCCCUGCUUGCUGGGUCCUCGAGUGGCGAACGGGUGAGUAACACGUGGGUGAUCUGCCCUGCACUUCGGGAUAAGCCUGGGAAACUGGGUCUAAUACCGGAUAUGACCUUCCAUGAAGUGCGGGGGGUGGAAAGAUUUCUCGGUGUGGGAUGAGCGUGCGGCCUAACCGCUUGUUGGUGGGGUAAUGGCCUACCAAGGCGUCGGCGGGUAGCCGACCUGAGAGGGUGGACGGGCACCAUGGGCCUGAGAGAGGGCGCAGUCUGCUACGUGAGGCAACGGUGGAGAGUAUUGCACAGUGGGGGGAAGUGAUAUACGACGGCGCUGGGUUGGGGAAGACGGCUUACUGGUGAUGAACCUCUUUCGACAGAAACGAAACUUGGGUGACGGUACCUGUAUAAGAAGCACCGGCUAACUACGUG
This 465-nucleotide ribosomal RNA is filed under the name uncultured bacterium. Its description in RNAcentral is "partial 16S ribosomal RNA". It matches the Rfam family "Bacterial small subunit ribosomal RNA", at positions 28 to 507 of the family's 1533-position model. The record is from RNAcentral.